This 243-nucleotide small nucleolar RNA is filed under the name Solanum tuberosum (potato). RNAcentral describes it as "snoRNA Plant_U3". It matches the Rfam family "Plant small nucleolar RNA U3". Rfam says of the family: Small nucleolar RNAs (snoRNAs) are involved in the processing and modification of rRNA in the nucleolus. There are two main classes of snoRNAs: the box C/D class, and the box H/ACA class. U3 snoRNA is a member of the box C/D class. Lineage: Eukaryota; Viridiplantae; Streptophyta; Magnoliopsida; Solanales; Solanaceae. The record is from Rfam by way of RNAcentral.
ACGACCUUACUUGAACAUGAUCUGUUCUAUAGGCUCGUACCACUGUAUUCUUGAUUUCUUAGGAGACCAAGCCAAGUCUGGUUGAUUUGAUCAGGAGACCAAACCAAGUUUGGUUGAUGAGGCAUGGUCAUGUGACCAGAGCGUGAUUAGUAGUUGUCCACGACUCCUUGAGCUAUGUGGUACAAUGAUCGUUCUUAGACCUAAUCUCAGGUGUGAGAUGGUCUCAUGUCUGUCUGACAGACA